CCCCCCUCUCUCUCCUUCUCAGAGUUUUUCUGAAACUCAUCCUUAAUGAUUCCAGAUCUGUGAUCUUUGAUCUCAUCUUCAAUCACAUCUUCUCCUUUCUGUAUUUUAUUUUAUUUUUAUUUGUUUGUGGAAGAUAAAAUUAAAAAGAAAAAGAAAAAUGAACGGCGUCGUUCGGGUAGAUCCGCCUUCUCGAGUCUUCCCCGAACCGAUCGACCACUUCGACCGCCUCCCGGACUCUGUACUCCUCCUAGUAUUCAACAAGAUCGGUGAUGUGAAAGCCUUGGGUCGGUGCUGCGUCGUUUCGCGUCGCUUCCACUCCUUGGUCCCACAGGUCGAUAACGUCGUCGUCCGCGUCGACUGUGUCAUCUCCGACGACGAUUCCUCCUCCUCUUCCUCCGAGAAGUCUCGCUCUCCCUUCUCCAACCUCUUCCGCUACGUCUUCGGCGGCAUCGUCAAGCCCUUUCAGGCUCUCGGCCAGUUGUUAGGUGCCAAGAGGACGCAAUUUCAUCACAAUAAUCAACACCUCACCACCAGCGGCCACGCCCCUGCCGCUUUCUGUGCGUCCUCUAGUUCGGGUUCGGGGACGACCUUGUCGGUUGGUAGCAGCAGCGCCGACGAUGAGGAAAUGGAUCAAGGAGGCGUCACUCACCACUCUCCGACUCAAGUCCUGAAGAAUUUUAACGAGAUUCGGUUUCUCCGGAUUGAGUUGCCCAGCGGAGAGCUCGG
Molecule: long non-coding RNA, 726 nt
Filed under: Citrus sinensis (sweet orange)
Lineage: Eukaryota; Viridiplantae; Streptophyta; Magnoliopsida; Sapindales; Rutaceae
Description: long non-coding RNA (CSIN_LNC000579)
Source: RNAcentral